This 2750-nucleotide long non-coding RNA is filed under the name Triticum aestivum (bread wheat). Its description in RNAcentral is "long non-coding RNA (TAES_LNC014784)". The record is from RNAcentral. Lineage: Eukaryota; Viridiplantae; Streptophyta; Magnoliopsida; Poales; Poaceae.
UUAAACCAUUUUUCGAAGCCUUUUAAGAUGGACCUCUAUAACGCCCUCGAUGCGGCUAUAUCUCCAACGUGUCGAAGCACGACUUAGAGGCAUAACCGCAUUGAAAGCAAUGUCGCAAGUGAGGUAAUCUUCACACAACCCAUGUAUUACAUAAGGGAAAAAGAUACAUAGUUUGCUUACAAUCGCCACUUCACACAAUUACAUGAAUAAAGCAUUACAUCAUCCAUAUACACUCAAGGUCCAACUACAAAACCAAAAUAAAAGAAGACUACCCCAAAUGCUACAUAGAUCCCCGAUCGUCCCAACUGGGCUCCACUACUGAUCAACUAUAAACGGAACAACAUAGCGAACACAAUCUUCAUCGAGCUCCUCCUUGAGCUUGGUUGCGUCACCUUCACGGUUCAACGGCACCUGCAAGAUGGUUUUGGAAGUAUCUGUGAGUCACGGGUACUCAGCAAUCUCACACCUUCGCGAUCAAGACUAUUUAAGCUUAUAGAUAGGGGAAAGGUAUGAGGUGGAGCUGCAGCAAGCGACUAGCAUAUAUGGCGGCUACUUUACGCAAAUGAGAGCAAAGAGAAGGCAAAGCACAUUCGAGAAAAUAUGAUCAAGAAGUGAUCCUAUAACAGCCUACAUCAAACAUAACUCCAACACCGUGUUCACUUCCCGAACUCCACCGAGAAGAGACCAUCACGGUUACACACGUGGUUGAUGCAUUUUAAUUAAGUUAAGUUUCAGGUUUUCUACAACCGGACAUUAACAAAUUCCCAUAUGCCCAAAACCGCGGGCACAGCUUUCGAAAGUUCAAUCCCUGCAGGGGUGUCCCAACUUAGCCCAUCACAAGCUCUCAUGGUCAACGAAGGAUAUUACUUCUCCCAAGACAAUCCGAUCAGACUCGGCAUCCCGGUUACAAGAGAUCCUCGACAAUGGUAAAACAAGUCCAGCAACGCUGCCCAAAUGUGCCGACAAAUCCCGAUAGGAGCUGCACAUAUCUCGUUCUCAGGGCACACUCAGAUAGGUCAAGCUACAAGUAAAACCAGCCCUCGAGUUUCCCUGAGGUGGCCCCGCAGGAUGCCCGUUUCGGACCAACACUUAGAGAAGCACUGGCCUGGGGGGGUUUAAAAUAAAGAUGACCCUUGAGUCCGCGAAACCCAAGGGAAAAAUAGGCUAGGUGGCGAAUGGUAAAACCAAUGUUGGGCAUUGCUGGAGGAGUUUUAUUCGAAGCGAACUGUCAAGGGGUUCCCAUUAUAACCCAACCGUGUAAGGAACGCAAAAUCCGGGAACAUAACACCGAUAUGACGGAAACUAGGGCGGCAAGAGUGAAACAAAACACCUGGCCUAAGGCCGAGCCUUCCCCCCUUUACCAAGUAUAUAGAUGCAUUAAUUAAAUAAGAGAUAUUGUGAUAUCCCAACAAAAUAUCCAUGUUCCAACAUGGAACAAACUCCAAUCUUCACCUGCAACUAACAACGCUAUAAGAGGUUGAGCAAAGCUGUAACAUAGCCAAACAACGGUUUGCUAGGACAAGGUGGGUUAGAGGCUUGGCUUAACAAUAUGGGAGGCAUGAUAAAGCAAGUGGUAGGUAUCGCAGCAUAGGCAUAGCAAAAGAGCGAGCAACUAGCAAGCAAAGAUAGAAGUGAUUUCGAGGGUAUGGUCAUCUUGCCUGAAAUCCCGCAAGGAAGAAGAACGAGUCCAUGAAGAAGACAAGCAGACGAAGUCAAACGAAACCUCACAAACGUGACGUUAUCGGAUCCAACCCGAAGAAGAAACACUGGAAAGAAGCAAACCACAUAGUAAACAACCAGCACAUCAACAUGGCAUGAUGCACAACCAAGUGUGAUGCAUGUCCGGUUUAAUUAUGCAUGGCAUGGCAAAGUGCACAAGCAAAACUACAAGUUAAGUGGAGCUCAAUAUGCAACGAGUUGCAUAUUGACGAAACACCACAAGAAUUAUUUAGUUCUCUCCCGGUUGUGUAUCCAACAAUAUUAAAUGUUGAUUAACAUGGCAAGAGGUGGAGCAUACGAAAACUACCUAUCUAGGCAAGUUUAAAUGAGGCCGGAAACAACGAACAACAAUUCCAGUAAAUCCCGAUAUGCAUAUUUUAGGUUUGGUACUGUUAUGCCCUAAACCGUAUUUUAGAGUUGUUUAACAUGCAAAGUAAUGUCACCAUGUUAAACUAGGCAUUUUUCUACCCCAUUUACAUAUAAAGUUUGUUAAGUUUGGAGCUACGGUUAUUUAGUUAUGAAAUAAAGCAUUUUAACAUGGCAAUAGGCAAAAUAUAAGAAAACAUCAUUUAAAACAUUUUUAACAAGGAAGAAAGUUGCAAAUUAUUAAUCUACACAAAAUUCUAAGAAAGUUUCAUAUAUAAUUUAUUUUAAUUCGAUGCAUGAUUCUGAUGUUAUUAUAUGCAUGAACAUGGAGGGGUUUUCUGCAAAAACUACAGUCUCUGAAAUAAAUAGACAAAUCACAGACGCUACAAAAAACAUACGCAGGCUGAAUUGGCUGGCCCAACAGGUGAAAAAAAACAAGAGGAGGAGGCGCUUGGGGGCUGCUCACCCUGGGCCUGGCCCAAUUCGGUGAAGAGGAGGCACGCUGGGUUGCAGCUGGGCCUUGGUUCGAUCUGGCGCUGGCGGGCUUGGGGGGUGUUGGGCCGGAUCGAGGCAAGGAGGCAGGCCAUCGCAACGCUCGGGUCAACGCAGGUGAGCGGAGGCACUAGUUGCAUGCGUUCUUCUCCUCCUCGAUGCAUGAUGCAGGG